This 2003-nucleotide ribosomal RNA is filed under the name human gut metagenome. RNAcentral's name for it is "bacterial LSU rRNA". It matches the Rfam family "Bacterial large subunit ribosomal RNA", at positions 502 to 2523 of the family's 2925-position model. The record is from RNAcentral.
CGUGAGGGAAAGGUGAAAAGAACCCCGGGAGGGGAGUGAAAUAGAACCUGAAACCCUGCACUUACAAGCUGUGGGAGCACAUUACUUGUGUGACCGCGUACUUUUUGUAGAACGGGCCAACGAGUUACGUUAAGUAGCAAGGUUAAGCACUUAAGGUGUGGAGCCGUAGCGAAAGCGAGUCUUAAAUGGGCGAUUAAGUUACUUGGCGUAGACCCGAAACCGGGCGACCUAUCCAUGAGCAGGUUGAAGCGAAAGUAAAAUUUCGUGGAGGACCGAACCCACGAGCGUUGAAAAGCUCGGGGAUGACUUGUGGAUAGCGGUGAAAUUCCAAUCGAGCCCGGAGAUAGCUGGUUCUCCCCGAAAUAGCUUUAGGGCUAGCCUCAAGCGUAGAGAAACGGAGGUAGAGCACUGAAUGUCCUAGGGGGUAUUGCACUUACCGAAGACUAUCAAACUCCGAAUGCCGUUUUCUUUUACUUGGGAGUCAGACUGUGGGUGAUAAGAUUCAUAGUCAAAAGGGCAACAGCCCAGAUCGUCAGCUAAGGUCCCUAAAUGUACGUUAAGUGGUAAAGGAUGUGGGAUUGCACAGACAACCAGGAUGUUGGCUUAGAAGCAGCCACUCAUUUAAAGAGUGCGUAAUAGCUCACUGGUCGAGUGAUCCUGCGCCGAAAAUUUCCGGGGCUAAAACGUACUACCGAAGCUACGGCAUCAUUUAUGAUGGGUAGGGGAGCUUCGUAUGCAGGCUGAAGCAUGACCGUAAGGACAUGUGGACAGUAUACGAGUGAGAAUGUUGGCAUGAGUAGCGAGACGUGGGUGAGAAUCCCACGGGCCGUAAACCCAAGGUUUCCAGGGGAAGGUUCGUCCGCCCUGGGUUAGUCGGGACCUAAGCCGAGGCCGAAAGGCGUAGGUGAUGGACAACAGGUUGAUAUUCCUGUACCGCCAAUAAGCGUUUGAGAGAUGGAGUGACACAGUAGGAUAAGCUAACCGUACUGUUGGUUAUGUACGGCUAAGCAUUGAGGCAGUCUAAAUAGGCAAAUCCGUUUAGACAAUGCUAGGAUGUGAUGGGGAAGCCCUUCGGGGCGAAGUAGCUGAUUUCACACUGUCAAGAAAAGCUUCUAUCGAGUUUAAAGGCGCCCGUACCGUAAACCGACACAGGUGGGUGAGGAGAGUAUCCUAAGGCCAGCGAGAGAACUAUUGUUAAGGAACUCGGCAAAAUGACCCCGUAACUUAGGGAGAAGGGGUGCCUGUCUAUGACAGGCCGCAGAGAAUAGGCCCAAGCGACUGUUUACCAAAAACACAGGUUUCUGCUAAGUCGCAAGACGAUGUAUAGGAGCUGACGCCUGCCCGGUGCUGGAAGGUUAAGGGGAUCUGUUAGAGCAAUCGAAGCAGUGAACUUAAGCCCCAGUAAACGGCGGCCGUAACUAUAACGGUCCUAAGGUAGCGAAAUUCCUUGUCGGGUAAGUUCCGACCCGCACGAAAGGCGUAACGAUUUGGGCACUGUCUCAACAAUAGACUCGGUGAAAUUGUAAUCCCGGUGAAGAUGCCGGGUACCUGCGACAGGACGGAAAGACCCCAUGGAGCUUUACUGUAGCUUGACGUUGGGUCUUGGUACUACAUGUACAGGAUAGGUGGGAGACUAUGAAGCAUGGACGCCAGUCUGUGUGGAGUCAUCCUUGGGAUACCACCCUUGUAGUACUGGGAUCCUAACCAUAGGCCUUGAAUCAGGUCUUGGAACACCGUCAGGUGGGCAGUUUGACUGGGGCGGUCGCCUCCUAAAAAGUAACGGAGGCGCUCAAAGGUUUCCUCAGCACGGUCGGAAAUCGUGCGAAGAGUGUAAAGGCAAAAGGAAGCUUGAUUGCAAGACAUACAGGUCGAGCAAGGACGAAAGUCGGACUUAGUGAUCCGGUGGUACCGCAUGGAAGGGCCAUCGCUCAACGGAUAAAAGCUACCCUGGGGAUAACAGGCUUAUCUCCCCCAAGAGUCCACAUCGACGGGGAGGUUUGGCA